GGGCUUCUCAAUCUGCUUGUCUCUAGAUCAGGCUGUAAACAACCCUCAGAAAAUAGCUGUCAAUGGUGGUGAUAAAUUCCUGCAAAUCCCAGAGCCUGGUGACCCCUCUGCCAGGAGCCCUUUCUCUUUUUCCCUACAGCUCACAGUUUCCCUUCGAUAACCGUUUGCUGUAGUUCCUCCCGAUUCUCACUUUGAGCUGUGCUUCUCAAGAGAAAAUGUCAGUUAUCCCUGGAAACACGGUAAAGACCUGGGUCCUCAGACCUGCGGCACACCAGGCUGCACACCAGGCUGCACAUGCCUCCUCGCCCUCUCCACCCCUGACAAAAGCCAACGACUCUAAAGACUCAGGAAUUACGGCGAUGCCUUCAAAAUUAACGCUAUCUGU
RNAcentral lists this long non-coding RNA (385 nucleotides) under Rattus norvegicus (Norway rat). RNAcentral's name for it is "long non-coding RNA NONRATT030683". Lineage: Eukaryota; Metazoa; Chordata; Mammalia; Rodentia; Muridae. The record is from RNAcentral.